This 1074-nucleotide long non-coding RNA is filed under the name Homo sapiens (human). RNAcentral describes it as "long intergenic non-protein coding RNA 1911". The record is from RNAcentral. Lineage: Eukaryota; Metazoa; Chordata; Mammalia; Primates; Hominidae.
AAAAGGAUGUUGUACAUGGGCAGAAAGGUGAAAAUUGUGGCCAGAGGCAGAUUGUGGUAAAUUACAAAAUUGGCUCAUAAUCCUUUAUUCCUUCUUGCCUCCAUGCUCUUUGCAAUGUGACUUUGCCACUUUUCUCAUUAAGAGAUGGAUUCUGUUCUCCAUUGCCUUCUGUCUGGACUGGUCUUGUAACUUGUUCUGGUUAAUACAGAGGUAAAUGUGAUGACACAUCAGAAGCCCAGGCCUCAAGCAAGCUUUCCCACUUGUUCUCUUGGAACCCUUCCCAGCUAUCAGCAUAAAGAUGUAUUAGGCGCAUUUAUACUUUUACAUCGAAGCCUGUUUCAACAUGAACGGAGCCCAGGGAAGUUGGUGACUUAAUCCUCGUUAUACCCUGAUUUUGGACAAAUUUUACAAGAAGAAUAGGACUUCUACUUCUCUAUGUCUACAUGCACCUGGAACAGUGCUAGGUCUAUGCUUACAAAUUGAUUGGUUCAGGUCACCGCCAUGAGCCUCAGGACAGAAAAUUGCCGGAUAUGAGAGAGAGAGAGAGAUUUGACUGGGCUAAGAAAGAAAUGAACACGAUUUAGAGAUGGAAAUGGUGACAUAUGGGCCUUUGAAGCCUCCCAUGUUCCAGAGAAGCCCCUGUGAGCUGUGACUGCAAGAGUCAGCACCUAAAUUAGAUCAACACUACAACAUCAAAAAGCCAGCUUGAUGGCACAGCGGGGAGUGAGGAAGACUCGGUGGACAAAUCUGACUGGAAAACAAGUAGGCGUUGCAGAUGACCUGGAACCAUGGUAGGAAGUGGGACAGGGAGCAUUUGGACAAGCUGUUCAAGAACUGAUCAUGCUCAUGUGUAUGGGAAAACAGAUGGAGGAAGAGAAAUUCCUGAAGAGCACAAGACUGGUGGGGCAAGGAACAAGCCUACUGAGAUGAGUUGCAGAUUUGAAGAUGGGAGAAAUGGUUUCGUUGUCUACCAUGUAAAAACUCAUUUAUGCAAGAUGCUUGAUAUCUGAAUUUCAAUUUCUUCAUUAUCAAAAUGAAUAUUAAAAAUACUCUACUUCUUAGAGUUGUCAAAAA